Molecule: transfer RNA, 87 nt
Filed under: Telonemida sp.
Lineage: Eukaryota; Telonemia; Telonemida
Description: tRNA-Ser
Rfam family: tRNA
About the family: Transfer RNA (tRNA) molecules are approximately 80 nucleotides in length.
Source: RNAcentral
GGAAAGGUGGCUGAGUGGUUUAAAGCACUGGUUUGCUAAAUCAGCGUAUAUUUUGAUAUACCAUGGGUUCGAAUCCCAUUCUUUCCA